UUGUACAAAUUUAUUACAUGUAUAUUUAUUACAUGUACAACUUUGUUACAUGUAUAUAAUAUGUAGUGGUCAAGUCAGGGUAUUUGGGGUGUCUGUCACCCGAGUAAAAAACAGUUUUGGGGUUUUCUGUUUCUUUGUUUUUUUAUAGAGUCAAGAUUUCAGUAUGUUGCCCAGGCUGGUCUCAAACUCCUGGGCUCAAGCAGUCCUCCAGACUUAGUCUCCCAAAGUGCUGUGAUUACAGGCAUAAACCACCAUGCCCAGCCCAAGUACAAAACAUUUUUGUUAAGUAUAGUCACCCUACUGUGCUGUCAAACAUUUUAUGUAUUCCUUCUUACUGUGUGUUUUUACCCUUUAACCCGCUUCUCUUCAUCCUCCCUUUACCCCUGCCCCACCCCUCCCAGUCUCUGUUCUCUAUUUUCCACUCUUUACCUCCAUGUGAUCCCAUUUUUUAGCUCCCACAUAUAAGUGAGGACAUGCGAUAUUUGUCUUUUUGUGCCUGGCUUAUUUCAUUUCAGAUAAUAACCAGUUCCUGGAUGUGAUACAUUUUUACUUCAGUUCUUCAUUUCACUUGGCAAACUAUACUUGGCCCUUUCUUAAUGGAUUUAUCUUUGCUAAACAGCAGUUGCUUUAAACAGCAAUUUUUUAAAAUUGUUAUUAGAAAAGCAGUUCAUGCCUACUGUAAAAACAUUUCUAAAAUAGGAAAGUAUGGUGUUCAAAGUGAAAGUCUCCUCCUCCUCAAUUUCACUCUGCAGAAAUCAACCAUAUUCAUAGCUUGGUAUGUAUCUCUGUAGGAUCAAAGAUUCCAAACUGAGAUAAUAUAAGAGUGAGUCUACCAAGUAGGAACGGCAGUGAACUGGAAGUGUCCCACCUGAGGGGGACAGCCUCUACUCAGGGCCAGAAGGAUUAAUUCAAACACUUCUGAGCUGCCAGUCUGAAACUGUGUCCGGAAUUGGUGGAUUCUUGGUCUCACUGACUUCAAGAAUGAAGCCGCGGACCCUCGCAGUGAGUGUUACAGCUCUUAAGGUGGUGCGUCUGGAGUCUGUCCCUUCUGAUGUUCAGAUGUGUUCGGAGUUUUUUCCUUCUGGUGGGUUCGUGGUCUCGCUGGCUCAGGAGUGAAGCUGUAGACCUUCGCGGUGAGUGUUACAGCUCUUAAGGCAGCGCGUCUGGAUUUGUUUGUUCCUCCGGGUGGGCUCGUGGUCUCGCUGGGCUCAAGAGUGAAGCUGCAGAUCUUCGCGGUAAAUAGGUUCAUCACUGUGAAGAUUUCUGGACAUUCUGCCACCACCUUGGUCUACAAGUGGCAUUCCCAAAGCCUGAAGCUAUCUUUGGCACCUGUAAAACGCCAGCCUUUCCCUCCAUGCCUACCCAAAGUGGUAGGUCCAGAGAUGUCUUGAUCAUCUUCAUGCCACCACUUUGGCCGGACAGAGCGGGAGCAAUGUUGACUGAUGUCAUAUUCUUAACUUUUAGUAUCACCUGGUAAUUUCUACAAUAAGGAUGCUGGAGUCUUGCCUAGUUAGAAAUCCUACCAGGGCUGUUUAUGAACCUUACUCGUGAAACAACUAAAAGUUUAGAAAGAGGAGAGGUUAGAAGGUAAAGGUAGAAUUGGGAAAAAAAAUGAAUACCUAGUUUAUUCUAAGGCUGUGAUUCCUAAGCUUUUAGAGAAAGGUUAGGAAUCUUCUGGCCGGGCUUGGUGGCUCAUGCCUGUAAUCCCAGCACUUUCAAAGGCUGAGGCGGGUGGAUUGCUUGAGUUCAGGAGUUUUGGAUCCGACUGGGCAACAUGGCGAAAUCCCAUCGCUACAAAAAAUACAAAAAUUGGCCGGGUGCGGUGGCUCACGCCUGUAAUCCCAGAAUUUUGGGAGGCCGAGGCGGGUGGAUCACCUGCAGUCAGGAGUUGGAGACCAGCCUAGCCAACAUGGUGAAACCCUGUCUCUACUAAAAAUACAAAAAAAAAAAAAAAAAAAAUGAGCCGGGCGUGGUGGUGCAUGCCUGUAGUCCCAGCUACUCAGGAGUCUGAGACAGGAGAAUCUCUUGAAUCUAGGAGGUGGAGGUUGCAGUGAGCUGAGAUCGCGCCACUGCACUCUAGCCUGGGCAACAGAGCAAUACUCUGUCUCAAAAAAAAAAAAAUUACAAAAAUACAAAAAUUAGCCAGGCAUGGUGGUGCGCCUAUAGUCCCAGCUAUUCGGGAGGCUGAGGUGGGAGGAUCACCUGAGCCUGGGGAGGUCAAGGCUGCAGUGAGUUGUGAUAGGACCACUGCAUUCCAGCCUGGGUGACAGAGUGAGGCCUUGUCUCAAAAACAAAACAAAAUAAAAAAACCCAAGAACUUAGUAAACAUUAGCUAGUAAUAAUUUUUUAAAAGAGAGAAUUAAUUUCUUCUGUGCUACUUGGUUGAAUUGUUUGCAUUAUAUAAUCUAUUAUCUCUUAAAAAUAGAAACAGCAUAGGGCUUACAUAUUGUUUUAUAAGUCAGAUGAAAUUAAAUCAAUUUAAAGUUACUCUUUUAAGACAUUAGUAACAUUCCAAAAAACAUGGAGAUGUUAGAGCAUUGUUAAAAUUGUGGCCCAGAAUAACUUCUCUAAAUAAUCAUUUCACACUCACUAAACCUCUGUUGAGGAAGUCUAGGCUAAAACCUUUGUUUGUCAAGAGGUGAAACACUUAACAUGAAUAUCUCUACUUUCAUGUAGAUAAGUAGUGAGCUAGCUUGAUUGAUUUUGAUCAAACUUUUGAAACUUUUUUUUGUUUUGAGACAGAGUCUCGGUCUGUCACCCAGGCUGGAGUGCACUGGAGUGAUCUUGCCUCACUGCAACCUUCGCCUCCUGGGUUCAGGUGAUUCUCCUGUCUCAGCCUUCUGAGUAGCUGGGAUUAGAAGAGUGAGCCACCAUGCCCAGCUAAUUUCUUUUUUUUUGUAUUUUUAGUAGAGACGGAGUGUCACCCUGUUAGCCAGGCUGGUCUUGAACUCCUGACCUUGGGUGAUCCGCUGGCCUCGGCCUCCUGAAGUCCUGGGAUUACAGGCAUGAGCGACCACACCUGGCCAAACUUUUGAAACUUUUACAAAUGUUGAGUGCAUUUAUGUGAAUGUGACACAAAAUACAGAAAGAAUAUGAGCACAUAUGAGAUUUGUAUUUUUAGGGACUGACAUCAAAACUGUGUUACUCUUUAGAAUUACUAUGGUGAUUUUGAAUAUGCUGAAGUUAUAUACUUUUUGCCGUGAUUAGCGUCUUUAUGUCAAGCUGUCUUGCCUCUGGGUUUUUAUGAACGAUGUCAUCUGAAAAGACCUUAUACUCUCUCUCAUUCAUUCCCUGAUAUCAAUUCCAUCUCCGGAGAAGCCAGGGAGUUGUUCAAGGCCUAUAAAAUGAAGUACAAGUGACUGAGAUUCACAACACAGAACUAAAACAUGUGAAAUAUUUUGAUACUGUAGGCAAAGGAGGGUUGUAGUUUUCAUGUUACUCUAGAAAUGGUUUUCUCUUCCAAUGUAAGCUGGAUUUGUUUUCGAGAGCCAAAGAGCCAAGCUAUUGAACACAGGUAGGCCCAUGUAUAUACUCACAGAAAGGAGCAUUGGCUGACUUCUGUUUGUUUGGUUUUUGUUUGUUUGUUUGUUUGUUUUUGAUAUUUCACUUUUCCCCACUAACCAUUGUAACAAUUUUUAAGUGUAUAAUUCAAUAGUAUUACAUACAUUCACAUUGUCAUGCAACAUCACUAUCAAUCUCUAGAACUUUUUCCUCUUGUAAAACUGAAACUCUGUGCCCAUUCAUUAAACACUAACUCUCCAUUUUCCCCUUCCUCCAGCCUCUAGUCAUCAUGAUUCUUCAUUUAUUUAUUUAUUUAUUUGAAACGGAGUCUCACUCACUCUGUUGCCCAGGCUAGAGUACAGUAGCAUGAUCUCGGCUCACUGCAGCCUCCACUUCCUGGGCUCAAGCGAGCCUCCCACCCACCUCAGCCUCCCAAGUAGCUGGGACUACAGGUGCACACCAACACACCCGACUAUUUUUUUUUUUUUUUAAUUUUUUUUAGUGACGGGAUCUAACUAUGUUGCCUAGGCUGGUCUCGAGCUUCUGGACUCGAGCAGUGCACUCACCUUGGCCUCCCAAAAUGUUGGGAUUACAGGCAUGAGGCACCAUGCCUGGCCUUCAUUUCAUUUUUCACUGGGCUUUUUUGAGUUGUAUUCCUAUCACUUACUUGAUCUGUACUAUACUUUCCCAACCCCCUUCUUUUUUUAUUAUUAUUAUUAUUAUACUUUAAGUUUUAGGGUACAUGUGCACAAUGUGCAGGUUAGUUACAUAUGUAUACAUGUGCCAUGCUGGUGUGCUGCACCCAUUAACUCGUCAUUUAGCAUUAGGUAUAUCUCCUAAUGCUAUCCCUCCCCCUUCCCCCCACCCCACAACAGUCCCCAGAGUGUGAUGUUCCCCUUCCUGUAUCCAUGUGUUCUCAUUGUUCAAUUCCCAUCUAUGAGUGAGAAUAUGCGGUGUUUGGUUUUUUUGUCCUUGCGAUAGUUUACUGAGAAUGAUGAUUUCCAAUUUCAUCCAUGUCCCUACAAAGGACAUGAACUCAUCAUUUUUUAUGGCUGCAUAGUAUUCCAUGGUGUAUAUGUGCCACAUUUUCUUAAUCCAGUCUAUCAUUGUUGGACAUUUUUCCCAACCCCCUUCUGGACUUCAUGAUUGGCUUAAUUUACAAACAUAUUGGGUAGAAUGAGGGGUCUGUGAAAGGUAAUGAAUUUGGAAAGUAGCUUGCCUUUCACAUUGGGCUGCAAAGAAAGUAGGUUGAAAGAAAUGUUUGGGCCAGACGCAAUGGCUCAUGCCUAUAAUCUCAGCACUUUGGGGGGCCGAGGCAGGAGGAUCACUUGAGGUCAGGAGUUCGAGACCAGCCUGGCCAACAUGGUGAAACCCCAUCUAUAAUAAAAAUACAAAAAUUCGCUGGGCAUGGUGGCACAUGCCUGUAAUCCUAGCCACUCAGGAGGCUGAGGCAAGAGAAUCACUUGAACCUGGCAGGCAGAGGUUGCAGUGAACCAAGAUCACGCUGUUGCACUGCAGCCUGGACGACAAAGCAAGACUCCGUCUCAAAAAAAAAAAAAGAAAGAAAUGUUUGGCAUGAAAAACCAUUUCCUAAGUGUCAGACAUCUAUCUGUGAAUUAUGUGUAUGGCUCCAAAAGUAGAAGACUCAGUGGUAUGCUUGUUACAAUUGUUAGUGUUUUGGUAUGCUGGAGUUAGCCCAUCAGAUAUUCAUGUGAAAGCUCACACUACUGGGAGAAAAUUAAACAAACAAAAAUCUACCUUGAAAAUGUCAUGCCUUAACAUUCUCCUUUGGAAAUACUGUACAAAGAUAAUAUAAAACAUCUAAAAAUAACGCAUAUUUUAAAAAGAUUUGAAAAAAGAAUACAUUUUCACAGUUUGAGAAGUUGAUUCUUGUUAUGCAAACUUGAACAUUUAUUUUUGAGGGGUGGGAUGCCUGGGAAAAUUACAGAUUGUAGGAGUUGUUUAUGGAAGUUACAAAAAGGGACUCUGAUGAUUAUUUCAUGCCAUUUUUGAAUGUGAGAAAUAAAUAUGUCAAUAUUUAUUAUGAAAAUAGCAUAAGGAAGAUUUCCAUGCAUAUAGAGAGGGUGUCUGCAUUCACAGCCUUUGGAAAAUGGUCAAUUUCAUGGCAGAAAUGAAUAUAAAUUGUUCCACUCAAACCUUCAGAACUGCAGUCCUUUGAUAAUUACAAUGUUGUUUUCUGAUUUGGUUUCUCUGCUAAUAUUACCCAUAACGUUUUCACGUUUGUGAGUUUCCUUACACAUUUCACAAGUAUCUUCUUUUCUCAUUUCAAAAGUAAUGUAUUCAACACAAAAAAUUAAUGAUGCAUUUUCCCAGUCUAUAUAAAUGCAUAUAAGAAUAUUUUUUCUUUGACUCAGUACGGAAUCAUAUAGUACAUGCUACCUUGACAUCUACUUUUUUCUCCACACUUAACAACGUUCUAUGAACAUCAAAGGGCCUUUGUGAUACUACUUUCCUUAGAAGCUAAAGUCCAUACAUAUGAAAAGGAAGCAAAUUCCUCACACUGAGAAACCGUGACUAUAAGCAUAUUUCAUCAAUUUAUAAACAUUAAAAAGUAUAAUUUCUAAACAUUGGUUUAUAUUAAAUAUCUUUUAAAAAAUGAUCACCAGUUUAACAGUGCCAAGUUCUUUUGACAACUUAAGAGCUGAAAACUGGCCAGGAACAGUGGCUCAUGCCUGUGAUUCCAACACUUUUAGAGGCAGAGGUGUGAGGAUUGCUUGAGCCCAGGACUUCAAGACCAGCCUGGGCAGCAUAGUGGGACCCCAUCUCUACCAAAAAUAAAAAAAUUAGCUGGGCGUGGUGCAUGUGCCUGUAGUCCCAGCUACUUGGGGGAGCUGAGGUAGGAGGAGAUUGCUUGAGGACAGGAGGUUGAGGCUGCAGUGAGCCAUGAUUGCACCACUGCCCUCUAGCCUGGGUGACACAGUGAGACCCUGUCUGAAAAACACAGGCAUAAAUCUUUACAAUCUUGGAUUCAGCAAUGGUUUCCCAGACACAGUGCCAAUAGCACAAGUGAGGGAAGAUAAAGUAGAUCAAUUAGACUUAAUGAAUUUUAAAACAUUUGUGUUGCAAACAAUAUAAUCAAGAAAGUGAAAAGACAAUCCAAAGAAUGGGAGAAAUUAUUUGUAAAUCAUAUAUCUAAUGAGGGACUUGUAUCAAGAAUAUAUAAAGAACUCUUACAACUCCACAAUGAAAAGAUAACCCAGUUUCUUCAGUGGGAAAAAGAUCUGAAUAGAUAUUUCCCCAAAGACAUAUAAGCAGCCAAUAAGCCUGUGAAAAGAUACUCAACAUCAUUUGUCAUCAGGGAAAUGCAUACCAAAACCACCAUGAAACAUCACUUCACACCCACUAGAAUGGCUAAACUAUUUUAAGUUACUAUACUUAAAAAGACGGGCAACUAGUUUUAUUUAUUUGUUUUAUUUUCAUUUUUUAUUUUUUUGAGACAGAAUCUUGCUCUGUCACCCAGGCUGGAAUGCGGUGGCGUGAUCUCGGCUCACUGCAACCUCCGCCUCCUAGGUUCAAGUGAUUCUCCUGCCUCAGCCUCCUGAGUAGCUGGGAUUACAGGUGCCCACCACCACACCCAACUAAUUUUUGUAUAUUUAGUAGAGACGAGAUUUUGCCACGUUGGUCAGGCUGGUCUCGAACUUCUGACCUCGUGAUCUGCCUGCCUCGGCCUCCCAAAGUGCUGGGGAUUACAGGCAUGAGUCACCACGCCCGGCCCAGACAAGCAGUUUUUGUGAGGGUUUGGAGAAAUUGGAGCCCUUAUUCUUCAUUAGUGGGAAUAUAAGUUUAGCCACUUUGGAAAACAGUCUGGCAGUUACUAAAAAAAUUAAACAUGGAGUUACCAUAUGAACACCAAUUCUACUCCUAUAUACUCAAAAGAAAUGAAAACAUACAUCCACACAAAAAUUUGCAUAUGAAUGUUCAUAGCAGAAUUAUUCGUAACAGGCAAAAAGGGGAAACAACAAAAAUGUCCAUCAACUUAGAAAAGGAUAAACAAAAUGUGGUAUAUCCGUGCAAUAGAAGAUUAUCCAGCCAUAAAUGAAGUACUGAUCGAUGCUACAACAUGGAGGAACCUUGAAAACAUGCAAAGUGAAAGAAGCCAGUAAAAAAAAGAUGACAGGUUGAAUGAUUCCAUUUAUAUGAAAUGUUCAGGAUGGGCAAAUCUCAGGUUUGGGCCAUAAUCCCAAAAGGCACAAUCCUGAGUGCUGUGACCUGGAAUGAUCAAAAUCCCUAAAGUCUAAAGUCCCAAAAACCACAAUCCCAAAAGAUCAAUAUCUCAAAAUUAGAAUUCUGGAAAAAAUAGGCUGGGCGCAGUGGCUCACACCUGUAAUCCUAGCACGUUGGCAGGUCAAGGCAGGCAGAUCACUUGAGGUCAGGAGUUCAAAACCAGCCUGGCCAACAUGGUGAAACCGUGUCUUUACUAAAAAUACAAAAAUUAGCCAAGCGUGGUGGUGGAUGCCUGUAAUUCCAGCUACUCAGGAGGCUGAGGCAGGAGAAUUGCUUGAACCUGGGAGGCAGAGGUUGCAGUGAGACGAGACUGUGCCACUGCACUCCAGCCUGGGCAACAUGAGUGAGACUCCAUGUCAAAAAAAAAAAAAAAAAAGAAUUCUGGAAAAAAUAAUUUUUAGAAAAUACAAGGACAUUUAUUUACAUUUUUAAAGGAGAUUCAUUUGAGAAACAUAGAAACACAACAGAAUACACAAUAAAAGACAAUAAUAAUAUACAUAUUUUUAAGCAUAAACAUCUAGGUAUACUAACUACAGUUGCAAGAGUACAGUUACAAGUGGAUGAAAUGUAUUAUUAAAGAAAUAGGUCAGAAAGCAAAAUGAAUAAAUACAUCACUAUGGUUGGUAAUUGCAUGCACCCAGCUUUAUAACCUCAGUCAUCUGAAAUACUGUGACCGGCAAACUAAGUCUUUUGAUGAGACUGAUCAAAAACCACGAUGGGUCAGCACCACAUAUGCAGCCACCCAAAGAGCCAAGAUCUCGAGAAGUUUUCUCUUUCACAAAUGCAUGUGCACAGAAAGGACAUCUCUUCAUCUAUUGAGGAAGAUUCAACAUUUUUGCAUACACACGUGACGCUUACACACAGAGUCAAUGUGAUAAUGUACUUUUGUGAAGUCAAAUUUGUAAAAAACAAAAUACAUAAAAUGAAUUAGAACUCUAAAAGUCUUUACACAAUUUAUACCUCCAGUAUUGAAAUAAUGCAAAGAUGAAAUCCAUAGCAUAGCAAAUUGCAAAAAAAUAAUGUUGACAAUUUAAAAUUGUGGGGAAGGGCUGGGACUCCGUGGCUCAUGCCUGUAAUCCCAGCACUUUGGGAGGCCGAGGUGGGCGGAUAACCUGAGGUCAGGAGUUUGAGACCAGCCUGGCCAACCUGGAGAAACCCUGUCUCUACUAAAAACACAAAAAUUAGCCGGACAUGGUGGCGGGCACCUAUAAUCCCAGCUACUUGGGAGGCUGAAGCAGGAGAAUCACUUGAAUCUGGAAGGCGGAGGUUGCCAUGAACCAAGUUUGGACCACAGCACUCCAGCCUGGGAGACAGAGUGAGACUCCAUCUCAAUAAAUAAAUUAAUUAAUUAAAUAAAAUAGUGGAGAAAAUACUAAAAAAAGAAAAAAAAAACUAAAAAAAUUAAGAAGAAAAUUCGGCAUGUGAAAAAGUAUAUCGAUUAUGGGCAAUUGCACAGAGGUUGUCCAUAGAGCUGACCAACUUUCACAAUCAUUAACUAUAUUUGAAGCCUCUCAUGUCCAUGAAUACCUGCUUUCUUUUUCCCCUUUUAGGGUAUGAAUACAUUUACAAAGAAUACAUUCACAUUGCUUUUCUACGUGGCACUGCUCUUUUUGAAAUUCUUCUGAGUUAAGAUACACCAACAUGAACAUUCCUGUAUAAUGUUCACAUCUUUUGUGCCAUACUUCUGUGUAAUUUUGGGUAUACAGUAAUCCACUCCACAAGCACUUUUAUGGAGACCACAAAUUUCACAGAAACCAUGUUGUUGAUUGAACUCCAACAUCGUUGUGCAUUCUUUUAUCCUACUGUGCACAUGAUUAUUUUUGAACCAGCCAGUAACUUUGCUGGCUUCUUCAAGCAAAUUUGGCUUUAAUUCAUUAAAAAUUCCUAGAAUUUCAUCAGCUGGAAGGGCUGCCAAUGCAGACAAAGGAUGCAUUUUUAUUUUUAUUUUUCAUUUUUUUUGAGACAGGGUCUCACUCUGUCACACAGGCUGGAGUGCAGUGAUGUGAUCACAGUUCAGUGCAACCUCAACUUCCCAGUCUCAAGUGAUCCUCCCACCUCAGCCUCCUGAGUGUAGGACUACAGGCAUAUGCCACCACACCUGGCUAAUUUCCUUUAUUUUUUGUAGAGUUGAGGUCUCGCCAUGUUGCCCAGGACUCGAACUCCUGGGCUCAAGCAAUCCUCCCGCCUUGGCCUCCCAAAGUGUUGGGAUUACAGGCAUGAACCGCUGUGCCCAGCCAAUGAUGCAUUUUUAAACUGAAGUUUUCAUCACUGCAUUAUAAUGUGGCCAAUCCACUCACCUGAAUUUUCCACCAAAUGCAAAUAAAGACAAUGAGAAGGUAAUAGUUCUGCAUAACAUGAUGCAACUAACAUGACUCAACUGUCCUAAAUACAACCCAAAACGCAUUAAUUCCUUCCCUAGAAUUCAGCUUUCUAAGAUUUCCAAUUUCAGGAUUUUGAUCUUUCAGGAUUACGAUUUUUGGAAUUUUAGAUGUUAGAUAUUUUAGACUCUAGGGAUUUUAAUGUUUCAGGCUUGCAACGUUCAGGAUUAUGGCAUUUGGAAUUGUGUCUUCAGGGAUUAUGACUGGCACUAGCAAAUCUCUAGAGGCACAAAGUAAGUUAGUGUUUGCCUAGGGCUUAGGGGUUGGGAAAGAAUGGGGUGACUGGUAAUUGGAAUAGGAUUUUUUUGGGGGGGGUGUCAAAUAUGUUUUGAAAUUAGAUUGUGGCAAUGGUUGCACAACUCCAUGAAUAUACCAAAAACAAUUGAAUUCUACACUUUGAAAUGAAAUAAAUUGUCUAGAAUGUGAAUGAUAUCUCAAUAAAGCUGUUUAAAAAAAA
Molecule: long non-coding RNA, 10581 nt
Filed under: Homo sapiens (human)
Lineage: Eukaryota; Metazoa; Chordata; Mammalia; Primates; Hominidae
Description: HSALNT0369902
Source: RNAcentral